This 301-nucleotide ribosomal RNA is filed under the name uncultured bacterium. Its description in RNAcentral is "partial 16S ribosomal RNA". It matches the Rfam family "Bacterial small subunit ribosomal RNA", at positions 509 to 807 of the family's 1533-position model. The record is from RNAcentral.
CAGUAGCCGCGGGAAUACGAAGGGGGCUAGCGUUGUUCGGAUUUACUGGGCGUAAAGCGCACGUAGGCGGACUUUUAAGUCAGGGGUGAAAUCCCGGGGCUCAACCCCGGAACUGCCUUUGAUACUGGAAGUCUUGAGUAUGGUAGAGGCGAGUGGAAUUCCGAGUGUAGAGGUGAAAUUCGUAGAUAUUCGGAGGAACACCAGUGGCGAAGGCGGCUCACUGGACCAUUACUGACGCUGAGGUGCGAAAGCGUGGGGAGCAAACAGGAUUAGAUACCCCCGUAGUCCCUGUCUCUUAUAC